Long non-coding RNA from Calypte anna (Anna's hummingbird), 2170 nucleotides. RefSeq lists it as uncharacterized. The record is from RefSeq and is a predicted model, not a curated record. NCBI's taxonomy places the organism in Eukaryota, Metazoa, Chordata, Aves, Apodiformes, Trochilidae. The transcript is spliced from 3 exons.
UCAGGGCGCUUCAUGGCGGCGACUUCACCUCCUCCUACCCCUAAAGAAAUGAGCCCCGCCAGGGUACACCUCGAGUCCUGUGUCCAGUUCUGGGCCCCUCAGCUCAGGAAGGAGAUUGAGAUCCAGAUAUCCUUCACUCUCUGCCUUCUGUCCCAGCCACAACCAUCCAGGAAUUCAGAUGUGAUGCAGGCUCAGCUGUCAGUGGAGUCCUCGUCUUGGAAAGAGAAGUCCUCAGACACCUGGGGAUUCAAAGGUUGUGUCUUCUGCCAUAUGACACAGGAGGAGGAGGGCGAGUAAAGCAGCCAAACCCACACGAUAAAUUUACACAGAAACUCAUCCCCCUCCCACCCCAAAUCAAACACAAGUUGUAGACACAGCUUCUCUGUCUCUUUAAAGCUUUAUCAACUUCCAGACAUACACCAGAAGAUAAAAGAGGAAGAAAAUUAGUGUGGGAAAAUGGGGUUUAGAAUAAGGUUUCUGACAGAGGUAAUCCAUGGACUAAAAGUGCUGUUGUAUGCAAGCAGACAGAACUUCUGUGGCUACAGUCCUCCUUACUCCCAUUUCUGUUAAAACAGAAGAUAGAGACUUCCUAGUCCAGUGCCCAAAAAAGACUAGAGAGGUUUGUAACUUCUGGAAGUGAGAAAACUCACUCUGUGGUUUAGGAAACUGUUUUUGAAUGUUGAUUUUAAUCCCAGCUUGUUGCAAUGACCAAAAGCCUCAGCCUGAGAAACCAGAGGGUAUUUUUAGCUAAUAUGGACUUCACAUUACAUCUCUAGUGUGGGAUUAGUAGCUCAGUUACCUCUAAGCUUCAGAAUUCCUACCUUUGCCCUGCCUCUGGAGAGCUGUAUUCCUGCCAGGUCCUAGCCAGCAAAAUGCUGAAGCUAUACAGGCCCUCGAGUUCUCUCCAGUACCAUUCCCUGUACCACCCAAUGGAAAAACAUCAGAAAAUGAAAUGCAGAGUUGUUCCUGCAGCCAGACUGCAGCUGUAUCAGACAGGCACUCACAAGUGCAUGCAUAUCCCUAGUAAUUACACACACACACACACACACACACAGAGCCUUACAACACCGAGAUGCUGCCCCAGGCAGACCCCAAACCCAAAAGACUGAACCCAGCUGAGGAAGGCAGCAGAGGCAACAGGAGGAAAAUCAGAGCAAAAUCUCUGCAACCCCCAGAUCAGAACUCAGACUGGUGACUGAGUACACAGCCAGCCAGAGCCUGACCUCACACUGCAACAGGCAAAUCCAUCAGGACACCUGUAUAGAACUGCAGGCUUUGUUCCCAUAGAAAAGCCAGCUGAAGGCAGAGAGACACCUUGUUCCAACUCAGUGACUGAGCACAUGCUGCAUCUCUCCUAAAUUAACUGCAAACCCUUAUGCCAAGUGGCACAGGGCUUAAAAAAUAUGGAAAAUCGUGAGCAUAAGAUGGAAAACACAACAGAAGACAGAAAAUCUAUUUUUUUGAAUCAUACUGGGAACAACUCAGCCUUAAAUUAACACUGUGCUGCAGUAAAGAGUCACUCAAGUCAUUUUUUUGCCCACUAAGAAGAAUAACAGAAUUCAGGCCAGCUUUGACAAAGUUAAUUCACAUGCUUUGUCCCCAGCAGCUGGAGGGUUGGUUGAUUUGCUUUAUUAAUACAACUCUCUGACAACUUCUGCUAGUAGGCAGGAUCAAAUUCAGAUGUAGAGUCAAUUCCAAACUGCUACUUCAAGCAAUUGGGAGCAGGUUUGGUUUGGUUUUUUUAAUUUUUAUAAAAUGAAAGAGAAACAUUUCUACUUAUUACAACACAAAAGAGGUCUUCUGGUGGCUACCAGCUCAGAAAUAUUUCCAUUUGAUGCCACUUACUUGGAACUUUUGCCUGAGUUGGUCAGCCAUGCUAACCCACAGCUGCUAAGAGGUCAUCCUCAGAAAAAGCCCUUUUCCAGUUUUCAUCCAGUGACAGACCUCUCUGCAUCAAAUCUUCCUCUUCUCCCACUCGUACUUGGAGUACUGGAUUCAGUGUGUAACACACACACCAUUUUGGGGCAAUUAAAAAAAAAAAAAAAAAAAAAUCUCUGUUUUUGUUCUUAUCAGCACCUGAAUGCUUUAUCCUUGCUAGGAGGAAAAGCUACUCUUCUAUCAGUUUUCUUAAAAAGUGAAAUAUUUAGUGUUUGGAAGACUGUAGAAUGCU